GGAGAAGGGUCAUAGCUCAGUGGUAGGUCAUCUGCUUUGCAUGCAGAAGGUUCUAGGUUCAAUCUGUGGCAUCUCCA
Molecule: non-coding RNA, 77 nt
Organism: Podarcis lilfordi (Lilford's wall lizard)
Lineage: Eukaryota; Metazoa; Chordata; Lepidosauria; Squamata; Lacertidae
Source: the annotation of a GenBank genome assembly